GACAGAGGAUGCAAGCGUUAUCCGGAAUGAUUGGGCGUAAAGCGUCUGUAGGUGGCUUUUUAAGUCCGCCGUCAAAUCCCAGGGCUCAACCCUGGACAGGCGGUGGAAACUACCAAGCUGGAGUACGGUAGGGGCAGAGGGAAUUUCCGGUGGAGCGGUGAAAUGCGUAGAGAUCGGAAAGAACACCAACGGCGAAGGCACUUUACUGGGCUAUUACUAACACUGAGGAGCGAAAGCCAGGGGAGCAAACGGG
RNAcentral lists this ribosomal RNA (253 nucleotides) under uncultured bacterium. RNAcentral's name for it is "partial 16S ribosomal RNA". It matches the Rfam family "Bacterial small subunit ribosomal RNA", at positions 524 to 776 of the family's 1533-position model. The record is from RNAcentral.